Molecule: non-coding RNA, 1855 nt
Organism: Paramisgurnus dabryanus
Lineage: Eukaryota; Metazoa; Chordata; Actinopteri; Cypriniformes; Cobitidae
Source: RefSeq, a predicted model, not a curated record
AUUAACCAUUACUUACAAACUAAAUAAAUACUGAAUAACUAAAUCCCUCACACACAAUGAAAAAAAACGCGCUUUUAUUUUGACACGCGCCCAUCCCCCCACAUCUCACGGUCUGACUGGAGUCGAGUUUCACAGAGCAACGCAACAGGAGGAUGACACAACAGUUAUAAGAGCAUUAACAGUAAGGACUAACAUUAACUGACUGUCUGUCCUCAACCAAAGUCAUUCAAGACCUGUAAAAGUUUAGCACAAACGUUUCCCGCGCAAGUUUGAAUCUCUCUCAGUCAGGGGAGAUUGACUGACUGACUGACUGACUGUCUACACGCCACCAAACAGUAAUUUAUACAGAAACCUUUUAAAGUAAGGACUAACAUUAACUGACUGUCUGUCUGUCUGUCUGUUCUCAAGCAAAGUCAUUUAAGACCUGUUAAAGCACAAACGUUUCCCGCGCAAGUUUGAAUCUCUCUCAGUCAGGGGAGAUUGACUGACUGACUGACUGAAUGACUGACUGACUGUCUACACGCCACCAAACAGUAAUUUAUACAGAAACCUUUUAAAGUAAGGACUAACAUUAACUGACUGUCUGUCUGUCUGUUCUCAAGCAAAGUCAUUAAAGACCUGUUAAAGUUUAGCACAAACGUUUCCCGCGCAAGUUUGAAUCUCUCUCAGUCAGGGGAGAUUGACUGACUGACUGACUGUCUACACGCCACCAAACAGUAAUUUAUACAGAAACCUUUUAAAGUAAGGACUAAGGUUAACUGACUGUCUGUCUGUCUGUCUGUCGGUUCUCAACCAAAGUCAUUCAAGACCUGUUAAAGUAAGGACUAACGUUAACUGACUGUCUGUCUGUCUGCUCUCAACCAAACAGUCAUUCAAGACCUUUCAAAGUUUAGCACAAAAGUUUCCAGCACAAGUUUGGAUCUUUACCACUGAGGGUGGCUGACUGUUCUCGACCAACCAUCAUUCACACGCAAAAACUUUAAAGAUAAGUAUGAACGUGCCCAGAGCAGUUUUCGAUCUUUACCAUUAAGGAGGCGGACUGACUAUCCUCUACCACCCGUCAUUAACACAACAAAAACUAAAGAAAUGUUACUCCAUAUGGACCUAUUCAUUUACUCAUUAUGCUGUGAGUACACCACAGUUUUAUCAGUGAAAAAAUUUAUAUUUGUGUGUUUUCUCACUGCUUGGCAAGGACAGAUGUGGCCCUGUUAAAAAUGUUUAAAUGUUGUUUGGUUAAGGAACAGCACACUGAUUUUGUUUUAAAAUAUUCCUGUUUGGACAGUCUGUUAAAGUCAAAGGAAUACUUGAUAUAUUUCUAAGUAAAGUGUAAAUGAAAAAAUUAGUUUUUAAUGUUGUGACUGAACACAAUGUUGUGAAUGAUUUGGACUGAACAGCACACUUCUGUUUUAUAUCUGAACCUUUUGUAAAAUAAAUGAUUGUUCAUUAAACUCACUGUGUAUUUUAUCUUUUCUGUUAUCAUUUUUUUAUACUAAUGUUUAAAAUUUACCUUUACUCUAAACAAUUGGCUAAACCAACACAAAUACACUGAGUCAUAUGCACUUAUAAUUUAAAGUUUACAAUAUUUAGAUUGAGAUAUAUGUAUAAGUUUUAAAACCAUGAGUGUACCCUGUCAAAGCCAUUUUUGUACCCUUUUUGAAGGGUCCAUAUUUGUACUGUUAAAUAAAGGUACAAAAUUGUCACUAGAGGUACAAAACUGGUCCCUUAAGGUACAAAUCACAAGGGUACAAUUUUGUACCCUCUGCCAAGGGUACAAAAACUGUACCCUUGAGGGUACAGCCCCAGUGACAAGCCAUUGUACCCCUAAAGGUACAAUUAUGUACUUUCUUUUCUGAGA